UCUGUGUCAUUCUUCUGCCAAGGAUAACCGCUCGCGGGUCCAUAAGCGGAGCCCGAACAACCGCUACAAUCGACAGUGCUUCGCCGCAGCUCGACAGAGGCAGCCAACACCGACUGAAAUUCCUCAUAUUCUCUGAAAAACAGAAAACAACAACCAUGAAAGCAACAAUUUUCAGCGUGGCCCUUGUAGUCAUCUUGCUCACGACCGCCUUCGGAUGCGACCACAUGGGUUACCGCCGGGAUGCGGGCCGCUGCAGGACCAAACACGAAACCAAUUUGCAACAGGCGUCAGCUUCCCAGAGAUGCUG
Long non-coding RNA from Rhipicephalus microplus (southern cattle tick), 307 nucleotides. NCBI's taxonomy places the organism in Eukaryota, Metazoa, Arthropoda, Arachnida, Ixodida, Ixodidae. The record is from RefSeq and is a predicted model, not a curated record.